AUGCCUGUCCGAGCGUCAUGAGACCAAUCAAGCUCUGCUUGGCAUUAGGCCAUGCCAGCGAUGGCAGGCUCCAAAUCUAGUGGCGGUGCCGCGGGCUCUGAACGUAGUAACAUCUCCCGUUACGGACGUCCGCGGUAGGCGACCAGGAAUCUCAACUCUGUCUUGACCUCGGAUCAGGUAGGGAUACCCGCUGAACUUAA
This 200-nucleotide unclassified non-coding RNA is filed under the name soil metagenome. RNAcentral's name for it is "partial contains internal transcribed spacer 2 and large subunit ribosomal RNA". The record is from RNAcentral.